ACCCAGGUGGACACAUCUUAUAGGAAUUUCAUUAUAUUCCAUAGUUUUCUUACUACCUUCAUUAAUGCAAACUAUUUUCCUCUAUGCUGCCUAACAACAGUCAGCGAAGUAAGGAAACGUGUUUUCUUAUUGGUCAGAAAAUAAAAAAGACCGCGCCCACCCUGAGAGAGUAACAUUUUUCGGAGGGAUUACGUGAAGACAAAAACAAUAAUUACUAGCGCAGAUUCAAAGUAAAGAAAUAGCUUCAUAGCAGUAGUUGCUACUGUAGUUCUAAAGAAGGGAACUUGUAAGUUGUGGAUUCUCUUGUUAUAGAAGACUUUGGUUAUGUUCUGAUUAUUGAAGUCUCGGCUGGGUUUUUAUGACACUGGAACUCUUCCCUGCGCGGAGGAUGGCGAGCCACUCAAGACUGAAUCGCCUCGGAGGAAACCCUUCCGUGUGCAUCUUCUGAUUUCAAGUGUGGUAGGACUGAUAGUUAACCACGCAAUUGAUUGAAUCUUCUUUCUUUUUUUUGAAUUCUCCAACCGGAUACAAUACACUUGAUUGAAACAACGGUUGGAUUCCUCAUCUGGACUAUUCUAUUUUUUUGUUUGAACUUUGUUGCAGUUGCGAAACCAUAACUUUUAUGGGUGCACCCUGUUCUUUUGGGACUGUUGGUUAAUAGCUCAUUAAUAACUGGAAAAUACCAGAACACACAUACACUGAUAUAUAGCACAGAACCAACUUUAUUUUGGGUUAUUGAGCAUUAUGAAUGUAAAUGAUUGAGAAUACAUUUUAUGUUCUACUUA
This is a long non-coding RNA of Alosa sapidissima (American shad), 785 nucleotides long. RefSeq lists it as uncharacterized. NCBI's taxonomy places the organism in Eukaryota, Metazoa, Chordata, Actinopteri, Clupeiformes, Clupeidae. The transcript is spliced from 2 exons. The record is from RefSeq and is a predicted model, not a curated record.